This 435-nucleotide ribosomal RNA is filed under the name uncultured bacterium. Its description in RNAcentral is "partial 16S ribosomal RNA". It matches the Rfam family "Bacterial small subunit ribosomal RNA", at positions 28 to 507 of the family's 1533-position model. The record is from RNAcentral.
GAUGAACGCUGGCGGUAUGCUUAACACAUGCAAGUCGAACGGACUCUUCAGAGUUAGUGGCGGACGGGUGAGUAACGCGUGAGAAUCUGGCUUUGGGUUCGGGACAACCACUGGAAACGGUGGCUAAUACCGGAUGUGCCGAGAGGUAAAAGAGAAAUUGCCUGAAGAUGAGCUCGCGUCUGAUUAGCUAGUUGGUGAGGUAAAGGCUCACCAAGGCAGCGAUCAGUAGCUGGUCUGAGAGGAUGACCAGCCACACUGGGACUGAGACACGGCCCAGACUCCUACGGGAGGCAGCAGUGGGGAAUUUUCCGCAAUGGGCGAAAGCCUGACGGAGCAAUACCGCGUGAGGGAAGAAGGCUCUUGGGUUGUAAACCUCUUUUCUUAGGGAAGAACAAAAUGACGGUACCUAAGGAAUCAGCAUCGGCUAACUCCGUG